UUGGCGGGAGCGGCGCGCGGGUGGUCGCUCGCGCCGCCGCCUCACGGCAGAGGGCGGGGAGCGACGGGCGCCGCGGGAGGGUCUGAGGGCGCCGCCUUAGACCCGCGGGGGGCUGGGGAGGAGCGAUCGCAGGAGGCGCCUGUCCCCGCCACCCGGUGACAGGGUCGAAGGCCGGCCGCCGGUGUUCGGCCACCGCGGGGCGGCCACGUCGUGCGGGGCCCGCUGGGCAGCUGCUGAGGGUUAGAGAUGGUGCGUGGAGCUUGGCUCAGGAGGAGGACAGCUGCUGAGAAGUCAAAGAUCUGGAAGCAGAAUGAAGCCCUUGUGCUCCUCUCACUUCGUCAACGUGUUCCGAAGCAGCACGGACCAUCCAUCUCAUCGGAUGAUACAGAAGAGCCACUCUAUGGGUGUGUAACAGGGCUCAGGCAAUGUAAGCCUGGCUCAGCGACUCUCCCUGCGGCUGGAAUGUGGUGCAGGGGGUACUUCGGACUUGAGAAACGCUGUUACUCCAUGUAACUCCGGGGUGCUGAAGCAUCCCUGCCCUAUACCAGCUUUGGGAGUAAUUCACAAUCAUGUAACUCGCUUGGAAAACUCAAAUGUUUUCACAAAGCUGGGAAGACAGCGCAGGGGACUAAACCCAGUGGGAAACAACAUUAAGGAUAUUUGGCAUUUUCAUGAAGGCCCGAGUUUUCAACACCCUUUGUAAUGAUUAGGUGUUUAAUCUUCUGCCCUCUGAGCCAGUUCAGUAAUGACUACCUCUGUGAGGAAACAGGAUAAAGUUCUUGCUAGUUAAAGACCUGCAAUUAAAAUACUUAUCACUAUUCUUAACCUAGCUGGCUCUAUUUAUUACAUGUCUAAGUAAACACUAUUAAGAAAGUCCUUUAUCUGAACAAGUCACAGCUUGAUUGUGGUUAACAACAGUUUUUAUUACAGAAUUAUAACAUAUUUAAUUGUCUGGGCACAGCUGUGGUGCACAUCAGAAAAAGACAGUCACAGUCUUAUCUCUGGAUUUCCUUCCCCCUUAAGUUUAAUACAGAUUUUACCACAUCAUCUUAAUGUGUUCUCUUAGCUUCCUUUGUAUUUCAGUGAUGGGUUCACAGAACAAAAACAAGUGGUAAGAAAUGUGAAGUACUUUUACCCAUCUUUCUAGAAAGAUCUUGCCCCUAAAAUCACCCAGAAUGGCUUAAUCAUUCUACAUGUUUCUUUGAAAACCUGUGGUUUCCCACUGCAUGAAUGUGGUGGUGUGUUAAAUCCUGGCAGGAAUACUUUAAAAAAAUCAGUGUGGCAACUCCAACCAUUCCUUCUAAUCUUCAUUUUUUCUGUUCUGGAUGCCUUCUUAAGAGAUUAUAUUGCUACCUGGGCUUGGCUGGGACACCUUGGCUUAGUUCUGUGAGCCGUGGUGGCUAUUUUUGAUCCCCAGAUAAGAGCUGGAAACCAAGAGGAAUUUCAGGAACCCGCUCUAAGGAAAUGAAAUAAUUUGAAAGACCAUGUUUAUAAGAGUUGUUCUUGAAAGAAUCUAAACGCUAGAAAAUAGACAAACACUAAAUAAAUCUAGAUUAGGCCAUUUCCAAACCUCUCAAAUGCUGUUACAGUGCUGUUAGCUUGACCUGCCAAAGAAAUGCCAGAAAAGUUUCUCCUCUGUGACUUUUCCCAGUUUUUUCCUUGCCUGACUGGUUUGCCGAGACAAGAAGUCUGUCCCUGUACAGUGUAAGAGUUACACAACUGAUAAAUGGUCUCCAAAAGUCUCUCAGCAUUGCUAUGCUGCUUAUGCUGUUCUUUACCAGUGCUUCUCUGUGGUUAUUUAGGUGUGAACAGCUUUUAUUUUGAUCUGAUUGACAGCCAGCUGUCGUAGAUCCUGAUCCAUUAUUUGGUAGCUCGGAUAUAGCUAAUGUAUAUAAUUGCAGGUGUCAGGGGAGUAAUUGCAGCAAUGUAAUUAAAGGAGUGAAAGUUGGGCACUGUGGGUUAUCUGUGGGCAGAAAUCCUCAGAAUGUUUCGAAUUUUGAAACCCACAUGCAGCUGGUUCAUUCACAUGGAUUUGAUCUGAAGAGCAAACACAAUAGUAAUAACGUUUACAUAUGACAGUUUCCCAUAAAGUGCUUAGUAAGCCCUGAAAAAAUGUAUGAAAGAAGUUUCUAAUUACAGAUGUUAUAGCUUUGGAUGUUCUUGAGUAAUUACUUAAUUUUACAGGUGAUUUUUUUUUCCCUGAGAAAAUUCAAAGUGUACCUAGAAAGUGAAUAAAUCAUCACUGCAUUCA
Long non-coding RNA from Pyrgilauda ruficollis (rufous-necked snowfinch), 2251 nucleotides. RefSeq lists it as uncharacterized. The record is from RefSeq and is a predicted model, not a curated record. The transcript is spliced from 2 exons. NCBI's taxonomy places the organism in Eukaryota, Metazoa, Chordata, Aves, Passeriformes, Passeridae.